CAGCCGCCACGGUAAUACGUAGGUGGCAAGCGUUGUCCGGAAUUAUUGGGCGUAAAGGGCUCGCAGGCGGUUUCUUAAGUCUGAUGUGAGAGCCCCCGGCUCAACCGGGGAGGGUCAUUGGAAACUGGGAAACUUGAGUGCAGAAGAGGAGAGUGGAAUUCCACGUGUAGCGGUGAAAUGCGUAGAGAUGUGGAGGAACACCAGUGGCGAAGGCGACUCUCUGGUCUGUAACUGACGCUGAGGAGCGAAAGCGUGGGGAGCGAACAGGAUUAGAUACCCCCGUAGUCCCUGUCUCUUAUAC
RNAcentral lists this ribosomal RNA (301 nucleotides) under uncultured bacterium. RNAcentral describes it as "partial 16S ribosomal RNA". It matches the Rfam family "Bacterial small subunit ribosomal RNA", at positions 509 to 807 of the family's 1533-position model. The record is from RNAcentral.